AACGAACGCUGGCGGCAUGCUUAACACAUGCAAGUCGAGCGCCCCGCAAGGGGAGCGGCAGACGGGUGAGUAACGCGUGGGAACGUACCCUUUGCUACGGAAUAGCUCCGGGAAACUGGAAUUAAUACCGUAUGUGCCCUACGGGGGAAAGAUUUAUCGGCAAAGGAUCGGCCCGCGUUGGAUUAGCUAGUUGGUGGGGUAAUGGCCUACCAAGGCGACGAUCCAUAGCUGGUCUGAGAGGAUGAUCAGCCACAUUGGGACUGAGACACGGCCCAAACUCCUACGGGAGGCAGCAGUGGGGAAUAUUGGACAAUGGGCGCAAGCCUGAUCCAGCCAUGCCGCGUGAGUGAUGAAGGCCUUAGGGUUGUAAAGCUCUUUCACCGGAGAAGAUAAUGACGGUAUCCGGAGAAGAAGCCCCGGCUAACUUCGUGCCAGCCGCCGCCGUAA
This 447-nucleotide ribosomal RNA is filed under the name uncultured bacterium. RNAcentral describes it as "partial 16S ribosomal RNA". It matches the Rfam family "Bacterial small subunit ribosomal RNA", at positions 29 to 523 of the family's 1533-position model. The record is from RNAcentral.